This 235-nucleotide ribosomal RNA is filed under the name uncultured bacterium. RNAcentral describes it as "partial 16S ribosomal RNA". It matches the Rfam family "Bacterial small subunit ribosomal RNA", at positions 562 to 793 of the family's 1533-position model. The record is from RNAcentral.
AAAGCGCAUGCAGGCGGCCUGUUAAGUCAGAUGUGAAAGCCCGGGGCGUUAACCUCGGAAUUGCAUUUGAAACUGGCAGGCUAGAGUCUUGUAGAGGGGGGUAGGAAGUUUCAGGUGUAGCGGUGAAAUGCGUAGAGAUCUGAAGGAAUACCAGUGGCGAAGGCGGCCCCCUGGACAAAGACUGACGCUCAGAUGCGAAAGCGUGGGGAGCAAACAGGAUUAGAUACCCUGGUAG